This 946-nucleotide long non-coding RNA is filed under the name Monodelphis domestica (gray short-tailed opossum). Its description in RNAcentral is "lncRNA (ENSMODG00000030886.2)". Lineage: Eukaryota; Metazoa; Chordata; Mammalia; Didelphimorphia; Didelphidae. The record is from RNAcentral.
CUCUCAUUUAUCACUCUUCAGCUCACUUUACAGAGGUUUGAGUUUUUCCUAGACUUCUCUGCCACAUUUUUGUAAUGAUAUCUAGAUUUCUUGAUGAUGUUUUAGACCCAAAUAAGUUUUACUUUGUUUAAAAAUAUGUUUACCAAGGUUGAAAGAUUUGCUACAUUUGUAAAAAUUGUGACAAAUAUCCAUCUACUCAUAGGCUUUUAAAAAUGCCAUACAGCAACUCAUAUAAAAAAUGAUAGUGGGUUUGUUUGUUAUUGUAAUUAAGAGGACUAUUGAGAAUUUGGGGGAUAUUGAUACCUACAUAUUUGUACUACUUUAUAAAAAAUGUUACCUUGUGAAAUUCAUUUGCUUGUACUCACAGUGGAUCAUGGCCAGAUAUGAAGAGGAAAUGGAUCUCGUUUUUGAAAUUGAAGAGGAAAGUGAAGAAAUGCACCAAAGCAGAGCCUUAUCUCUCUACUGCCCUCCAUUUUUUCAAGUUAAAACUAAUGAUGUUGAGGUCUGUGACUGCAGAUGUGGGCAAAAAGCAGGAUGCUGCCAGGAAGUAAGUCAAGUAAAGAGAAGCAAGAUAUUCUGGAUAAGACUAUCUUUAAUUUUGUCAAAAUUUGACCAACUGGUCAACCAAAGAGAAUCAGCACAAAAUGGCUACAUAUGCUCCAAAGUCUAUGGGACUAUUGCAAUAGCUAAAUAUCCUGUGAAGCCUCAAGAAUACUGGUCUCUUCACCAUUAUAUCAAUAUAAUACAACCUGUGGAAUUUUGAAUACCAGAUUUUGGAUGCCAACUCUCUCAAUUUAUCCAAAACUAUGCCUUUUCAUAAUAUUCUUACCACUACUGAUAGAUAAUAAUAUAUUCUGCUCUCCAGAUGUGUAUAUGUAACCUCCCUAUAGAUAUAGAAAAAUAGUCUCAGAAUAAAGAACAAAAACACUGAAUACUUAUCUAUUAA